UACGUAGGGUGCAAGCGUUGUCCGGAAUUAUUGGGCGUAAAGAGCUCGUAGGCGGUUUGUCGCGUCUGCUGUGAAACGACGAGGCUCAACCUCGCGCCUGCAGUGGGUACGGGCAGACUGGAGUGCGGUAGGGGAGAUUGGAAUUCCUGGUGUAGCGGUGGAAUGCGCAGAUAUCAGGAGGAACACCGAUGGCGAAGGCAGAUCUCUGGGCCGUAACUGACGCUGAGGAGCGAAAGCAUGGGGAGCGAACAGG
This 253-nucleotide ribosomal RNA is filed under the name uncultured bacterium. Its description in RNAcentral is "partial 16S ribosomal RNA". It matches the Rfam family "Bacterial small subunit ribosomal RNA", at positions 524 to 776 of the family's 1533-position model. The record is from RNAcentral.